UGAGAUAACUCAAGGAAAAAAGAGAGGAAAGUCAAAAAGCCGGCAAGUUACUUAAACAAGAAAAUGAUUGGAUUUUUUUCAAUAUGACAGUUGACACGUUCCACUAUUUGGGAAGAUUAAAUUUACCAAUGGAACAAGAAAUGAAAGAAAGAACAACACAUUCUGUCUAAAUGAUUACAGAUAAAAGCAUCAUGGGAAUUCAAAGACUAACACACAAAAUCUUUUCAUCAAUAAGUUACAUUAGUGCAUCACAACUUUUGCUGUGUUUUCUAAUUCUUUUGUGUGUCAAGGUAACUGCAGGUUCAUAUGGUGACAGAUCAUACAUAUUCAUGAAAUGUGUUAGUAACUGUGGCAAUAAAAACUGUACCAGCCAAUCAAAGUUCUUGUCUGCUCAGCCAUGGUAUCUUACAGUGUUACAGUGGUCAUGUAAAGAUGAAUGUAGAUACCAGUGUAUGUGGAAAACUGUAGAUGCCUUUCACAAGGAUGGGCUGAGUGUUCCACAGUUCCAUGGGAAAUGGCCAUUUGUACGACUGUUUGGGAUACAGGAGCCAGCGUCAGUGUUGUUCUCUGUACUUAAUGGACUAGCCCACCUGCGUAUCCUGUCCUACAGAAAACAAGUAUCUCCCAAAGUUCCUUUAUAUUAUAUCUGGCAUCUCUAUGCCUUAGUAGCAUUUAAUGCUUGGUUUUGGUCUACAGUUUUUCAUACAAAAGAUACAGAUUUUACAGAGAAAAUGGAUUAUUUCUGUGCGUUUUCUGUAGUACUCAGUAACUGUUAUGUUGUAUUAUGUAGAUUAUAUGGAACAAGUCCAGUGCGCCGUCCUCUCAUUUUUGCAGCAUUAGUCAUUGCCUUAUACACUUACCAUAUCUACUACCUUGCCUUUGUUCAUUUUGAUUAUGGAUAUAACAUGCAAGUAAAUAUCGUUUUUGGGGCAUUAAACUUUACUGGAUGGAUGCUUUAUGCUUACAGAGAAGGAAUAAAAAAACGUUAUGUACAAAAAUGUAUGCUAGCUAUGUUUGGUUUGACAUUCCUUAUUUUAUUAGAACUGCUGGAUUUUCCUCCAUUAUUGUGGAUUUUUGAUGCUCAUUCAAUGUGGCAUGCAGGUACAAUACCUGUAUGUUACCUUUGGUACAGUUUUGUUAUAGAAGAUGGAUUAAAUAUGGAAUUAGAAUUAGGAGAUGAUAAAGACAAAAAAACAGUGUGAUUCCUGUUGUCAUAGAUUGAACAUCUUUGAAUGUGUUUUUUAUUUGGGAUCAUUAAACGUGCAUUGUAUAUGUAAUCAGGAAAUGUGCUUUUUAUAACUGAUCCUUUAGUACAUAUCUUGUAAGUGAAUAUUAAGUGUGUAUUGUAUAUGUGAUUAUAGAGUGUUUAUUAAGUGAUCAUUAAGUGUGUAUUGUAUAUGUGAUUAUAGAGUGUUUAUUAAGUGAUCAUUAAGUGUGUAUUGUACAUGUGAUAAUCAAGUGUGUAUGUAUUAAGUGAUCAUUAAGUAUGUGUGUUAUUUAUAUGUUAAAAAAUAAAAAGAGGGGUGGAAUGUAUGUCAAUGAGACCGCAACCCAUUGACACAAAAAUCCAAAAUGUCUAGAACUCAACAGUAUUUAACAAAAGACAAGACAGGUGUAUAUACUGUAAAUCCCCCUGAAUCUAAAUGGUUGUGAUAACUGUAACAAAGACUUUCCAUUAAUAUAGAAGACUGGAAAACAUACAUUUUAGAUAACCAGGCUUCCUCUUUUAUUCCCAAUCAAGAUGUAUAAUAGAUGCUACACCAUUACAGGAAAAUAAUUUAACUCUAUAAUACUAAGGUGAUUAUUAAACUCCAUUUGAUUUCUGAAUGUGUAUGGUACAUGUAAUCAUCAGUGCAUACUUGUUAAUUCUACCUACGGUCCAUGUAAUCAUCAGUGCAUACUUUAUAAUUCUACCUACUGUCAGUUUGUUGUCUGUUAUAUUUUUGUUGUCAUUCAACUAGAAAUAUGUACCCAUAUUGAAUAUUGUCAACUAUUUUGAAUGAAUAUAAUUGCAAAUUUAGUACACUGAGGUAAAAAUAAUUACGAUGAUCUUUUUUUUUUUCGACAAGAAAAGGGAUGGGCUUAUCUCGCCCCAAUAACACAAAAAUAUAACAAAAGAGGGACUUUAACAGGUUUGGUCUCAUAUAGCCUUUAUUUUAUUUAUUUAAUUUUCUCAAUUUGAAAUAGUGUUUUUUAGCCACUUCUUCAAUGUUCAGCUUUCUUUCCUCUGUAUAUAAGAAAUUCCUCUUGUCUUGUACAUCUAGCCAGUGAUCAUGACUUCUUUUGAUGGCAUUGUAGAAAUCUGGGUCUUUUUCUUUCUCGAUCAUUUUGUAUGGAUACAGCUUAUCCUAGUAGACUAGAAUAAAACUGUUUUCUUUUUCAACCUCGAACAGGAAGGUCUGUUGUGGUAGAUCUAGUGUUAUCUUUCCUACCCUGAUUCGUGAAGUUGGUUGAGAUGUUUCCAUUCCUGCAGGAUUUGCUGAAGGUUGACCCUCAGCACCUGUUGUGCAGGGGGGAUCCUUUUGUGGUGUACAGGGUAGUUUUCUGUUGUCGUCGAGUACUGUGACUACCGGUUGUUCCUGUGUAGUCAUUUCCUCUGUAGGUUUUGCGGUAUAUUCUCCCUUCUCUUCGGUGUUAUUGGUUGAAUCUACAUUGGGGUCAUUUUUCUAGACAUUUUUGAGAGGGUUCUCCGUUCUCAAUUGUCGAUGGUGUGGACUUCUUAGCUAUAAAAGCUUCUAGGCGGCGUUUAUUCCUGUCUGUUUUCGCUUUUGAUGACCUUUUCCAUGUUUUUGGAAAUGUAGGCGACUCGUUCUGCUCUUCUUGUUGCCUGGACUUUUUCCGUCUUAUUACUAGUUUGUAAUCUCCAUUCCUAGCUGAGAGAUCCCAGUUGGCGGUUUGAUGUUCAAGUGAGUGUAUACUGGUAAAGAUAUCUCCAGUCAAUAGUGAAGGUGAGCAUGACUCACUGCUCGCUGUCAUAACGAUUCACCUCAUCCUGACAUGUUACAUGUGACUAAUUACGAUGAUCUUUAUUGAAUAUUAGAUGCUCAAUACUGUCAAGGUCAAGAUUAUUGAAUAUUAGAUGCUCAAUACUUACAAGGUCAAGAUUAUUGAAUUUUAGAAGUACAAUACUGCCAAGGUCAAGAUUAUUGAAUAUAAGAAGCUCAAUACUGCCAAGGUCAAGAUUAUUGAAUAUUAGAAGCUCAAUACUGUCAAGGUCAAGAUUAUUGAAUAUUAGAAGCUCAAUAGAGCCAAGGUCAAGAUUAUUGAAUAUUAGAAGCUCAAUACUGUCAAGGUCAAGAUUAUUGAAUAUUAGAAGCUCAAUACUGUCAAGGUCAAGUUUAUUGAGUAUUAGAAGCUCAGUACUGCCAAGGUCAAGAUCACCAUUACUAGAAAAGGAGUGAAACUCAUUAUACCAAUAAGCUUUUUCUUGCUAGAAAUGAGUUUAUGUUGUGCAUCUAUAAUUUUUCAUGCGAUUCAUUAUUGUAAAGGUACAUGAUUGCUUUGAUGCAAGUCCUAAUACUUUAUUUCUAGAAGACUUCUGUAGGACAGUCUAGGAGGUUCUAUCAUGACAGUCAAUAUUGAAGUAACUUAGUUAAGGAUAAAUUUGAUUGGAGGCAAUAAUGCUUCUUUGAAUUCAAAUGUUUUACUUAGAAUAUAAUGCCAUAAAGAGAAAAAUGUAACAUUAUCAUAAUAUUCACAGUCACACUUAUUGAUGUUUAAAACAAAAUGCAACAAGUACUUAAUAAAUGCAAUGAUUUUAUUAUAAUUUGUUACCAGUUAUAGAUUUUUAUCAUGUAUUUGUUAAGGAAGAAGCAUGAACUAUUGUGUAAAGAUGAUAAGAAAAUUAUUAAAAUUAUUUAUGUUA
RNA transcript from Mytilus californianus (California mussel), 3865 nucleotides. It is a transcript of the gene named post-GPI attachment to proteins factor 3-like, with no coding region annotated. NCBI's taxonomy places the organism in Eukaryota, Metazoa, Mollusca, Bivalvia, Mytilida, Mytilidae. The record is from RefSeq and is a predicted model, not a curated record. The transcript has 9 exons.